AGCAGCCGCGGUAAUUCCAGCUCCAAUAGCGUAUAUUAAAGUUGUUGCAGUUAAAAAGCUCGUAGUUGAAUUUCGGGAUCAAUGUUUCGGUCAUGCCGUUGGUAUGUACUGAUAUUAUUGAUUUCUCACCUUCUAAAGAACCGUAAUGCCAUUAAUUUGGUGUCACGGGGAAUUAGGACUGUUACCUUGAAAAAAUUAGAGUGUUUAAAGCAGGCUCACGCUUGAAUACAUUAGCAUGGAAUAAUGAAAUAGGACAUCCGAUUCUAUUUUGUUGGUUUCUAGGAUCGAUGUAAUGAUUAAUAGGGAUAGUUGGGGGCAUUAGUAUUCAAUUGUCAGAGGUGAAAUUCUUGGAUUUAUUGAAGACUAACUACUGCGAAAGCAUUUGCCAAGGAUGUUUUCAUUAAUCAAGAACGAAAGUUAGGGGAUCGAAGACGAUCAGAUACCGUCGUAGUCUUAACCAUAAACUAUGCCGACUAGGGAUCGGAUGAUGUUAAAUUUUUAAUGACUCA
This 509-nucleotide ribosomal RNA is filed under the name Funneliformis caledonium. RNAcentral describes it as "SSU rRNA". It matches the Rfam family "Eukaryotic small subunit ribosomal RNA", at positions 569 to 1078 of the family's 1831-position model. Lineage: Eukaryota; Fungi; Glomeromycota; Glomeromycetes; Glomerales; Glomeraceae. The record is from RNAcentral.